Long non-coding RNA from Zingiber officinale, 333 nucleotides. RefSeq lists it as uncharacterized. NCBI's taxonomy places the organism in Eukaryota, Viridiplantae, Streptophyta, Magnoliopsida, Zingiberales, Zingiberaceae. The record is from RefSeq and is a predicted model, not a curated record. The transcript has 4 exons.
UCUUGAGCUGCCGGGAAGAGGCUAGAAGGAUGGUUAAUUGAUCAGUGAUCUCCCUGCUUGACCUCCUGUUGUGAUCCGAUUGAUUCCAAUGAGGUUGAGUGCCGUGGAUCAACAAGCACGACUGUGAGUGUUUGGUCUUGCAUUGUGAUGGCGUCUGAGUGUUGGCUUGGUCUCUGUUGGCUUGCUACAUAUCUAGAAAGCUCCAUGAUUUGUGCUAAGCUGAAGCGUAUCCAAUUUGGAUUUUCCAGCUCAAAAUAUCAGUAGAUUUGUUGUGGUAGUGCCUUAACAGGAUUUGAGACUUCUUCAUUCAGGAAAAGACAAGUCCGGUAGAUA